This 253-nucleotide ribosomal RNA is filed under the name uncultured bacterium. RNAcentral's name for it is "partial 16S ribosomal RNA". It matches the Rfam family "Bacterial small subunit ribosomal RNA", at positions 524 to 776 of the family's 1533-position model. The record is from RNAcentral.
UACGUAGGGAGCAAGCGUUGUCCGGAAUCAUUGGGCGUAAAGCGCGCGUAGGCGGCUUUGUAAGUUAGAGGUGAAAGCCCGGAGCUCAACUCCGGAAUUGCCUUUAAGACUGCAUCGCUAGAAUCAUGGAGAGGUGAGUGGAAUUCCGAGUGUAGAGGUGAAAUUCGUAGAUAUUCGGAAGAACACCAGUGGCGAAGGCGACUCACUGGACAUGUAUUGACGCUGAGGUGCGAAAGCGUGGGGAGCAAACAGG